ACGAGUCUUUGUAAGAUGCGCUCACCUUGCUCUCUAUCCCCUUGCAUGAUUCUUAAAUACUGCUGUUAGAUUUUCACCUUAUUGGAUAUCUUAUCUUGCCCCGCUGUCUUAGCAGGCUUUACAGUUUCACAAGGAGACUCAAAAUGAGGAGCGUGAGAGUAUGGAUUCGAAACUUUGAAUGUUGGUUCUAGAGCAUAAUGUUAGGCAUCGAGGAAUUUGAACACAGCCUCGUUAGCAGAUCGAGGAAAAGUAGCUGGAGGAGGAGCUACAAGAGCAUGAG
RNAcentral lists this long non-coding RNA (280 nucleotides) under Nicotiana benthamiana. Its description in RNAcentral is "long non-coding RNA (NBEN_LNC039764)". Lineage: Eukaryota; Viridiplantae; Streptophyta; Magnoliopsida; Solanales; Solanaceae. The record is from RNAcentral.